This 338-nucleotide unclassified non-coding RNA is filed under the name soil metagenome. Its description in RNAcentral is "partial contains 5.8S ribosomal RNA, internal transcribed spacer 2, and large subunit ribosomal RNA". The stretch from base 1 to 120 matches the Rfam family "5.8S ribosomal RNA", at positions 35 to 154 of the family's 154-position model. The record is from RNAcentral.
GAUGAAGAACGCAGCGAAAUGCGAUAAGUAAUGUGAAUUGCAGAAUUCAGUGAAUCAUCGAAUCUUUGAACGCACAUUGCGCCCUUUGGUAUUCCAAAGGGCAUGCCUGUUCGAGCGUCAUUUGUACCCUCAAGCUUUGCUUGGUGUUGGGCGUCUUGUCUCCAGUCCGCUGGAGACUCGCCUUAAAGUCAUUGGCAGCCGGCCUACUGGUUUCGGAGCGCAGCACAAGUCGCACUCUUUUCCAGCCAAGGUCAGUGUCCAACAAGCCUUUUUUCAACUUUUGACCUCGGAUCAGGUAGGGAUACCCGCUGAACUUAAGCAUAUCAAUAAGCGGAGGA